Long non-coding RNA from Bombina bombina (fire-bellied toad), 683 nucleotides. RefSeq lists it as uncharacterized. Lineage: Eukaryota; Metazoa; Chordata; Amphibia; Anura; Bombinatoridae. The transcript has 4 exons. The record is from RefSeq and is a predicted model, not a curated record.
AAAUCUAGAGCGGUUUUAUUGAUGGAAAAAUGUCAUCUGGAGUAUCAGAGAGUCAUUUGUAACAAUACACUCCGUGAAUGUUCCUAAGAUCUACCGUCUGAUAAACUGUUUGUUGUUCAUGAUCGAUGGUAAAUAAAGGAUACACUCUCCCAGUUACUGAACCAUUAGAUGCUGCUGGACCGAAGUUUGAUGACGUUACCAAAGACCGCUAAGCUAUGCGUGCAACUCAUCACUAGUCUGUGAAGUGGAGACAGAGCUUUUCCCCAGACAUUGCUGGAAACUCUACAGGAGACGUGCUUGGGAAACUUGGCUUCUUGGCUUUAGUUUUCCAAAUAGUUUUGUCUUCUGCGAGAAACCUCUUGGGAAUCUUCCUACUUCUUGAAGACAUUACUGAACCGAGGAAUGGAUCUGCUCUGCAACAAAGAAUAAAGUUUUUGUAUGACCUGUAGAGAUGAAAACAGCCGAGUAUAAAUACAGAUAAAGAGAUACUGAUAACCAAUCAAGAGAGUGAUGAAAGUCUCUAAACAAACCAGAAGAAAAGGUCUAUUUGAAAAAGUAAACUGGAUAUUUAUUUUUCUUCUCUAAUUCAUGAACGUUUAAUGUUGACUGUGUGUCCCUUUAAUGUGCAAAAUAAAGGAAAUUCUGUAUAUAAUUUAUAAUUAAAACAGUCAUUUUUAUUAUUA